RNAcentral lists this ribosomal RNA (257 nucleotides) under uncultured prokaryote. RNAcentral describes it as "partial 16S ribosomal RNA". It matches the Rfam family "Bacterial small subunit ribosomal RNA", at positions 521 to 777 of the family's 1533-position model. The record is from RNAcentral.
UAAUACGUAGGCAGCAAGCGUUGUUCGGAGUUACUGGGCGUAAAGGGUGUGUAGGCGGUUGUUUAAGUUUGGUGUGAAAUCUCCCGGCUCAACUGGGAGGGUGCGCCGAAUACUGAAUGACUCGAGUACGGGAGAGGAAAGUGGAAUUCCUGGUGUAGCGGUGAAAUGCGUAGAUAUCAGGAGGAACACCGGUGGUGUAGACGGCUUUCUGGACCGUAACUGACGCUGAGACACGAAAGCGUGGGUAGCAAACAGGA